Molecule: ribosomal RNA, 327 nt
Filed under: uncultured eukaryote
Lineage: Eukaryota
Description: partial 18S ribosomal RNA
Rfam family: Eukaryotic small subunit ribosomal RNA
Source: RNAcentral
CCCCUAGAUGUUCUGGGCCGCACGCGCGCUACACUGAACAGUUCAACAAGUCUUAACCUUGGCCGAUAGGUCUGGGUAAUCUUUGAACGCUGUUCGUGAUUGGGAUAGACCUUUGCAAUUAUGGGUCUUCAACGAGGAAUUCCUAGUAAACGCAAGUCAUCAGCUUGCAUUGAUUACGUCCCUGCCCUUUGUACACACCGCCCGUCGCACCUACCGAUUGAAUGGUCCGGUGAAGCGUUUGGACUAUGGUUUUCUGACGGUUCGCCAUUGGAUUACCGUGGGAAAUUCGUUAAACCUUAUCAUUUAGAGGAAGGAGAAGUCGUAACA